AGGGGUGUAGCUCCAACGGCAGAGCGCCGGUCUCCAAAACCGGAUGUUGUGGGUUCGAAUCCCGCCACCCCUGCGA
This 76-nucleotide transfer RNA is filed under the name Acidobacteriota bacterium. Its description in RNAcentral is "Acidobacteria bacterium tRNA-Trp". It matches the Rfam family "tRNA". Rfam says of the family: Transfer RNA (tRNA) molecules are approximately 80 nucleotides in length. Their secondary structure includes four short double-helical elements and three loops (D, anti-codon, and T loops). Further hydrogen bonds mediate the characteristic L-shaped molecular structure. tRNAs have two regions of fundamental functional importance: the anti-codon, which is responsible for specific mRNA codon recognition, and the 3' end, to which the tRNAs corresponding amino acid is attached (by aminoacyl-tRNA synthetases). tRNAs cope with the degeneracy of the genetic code in two manners: having more than one tRNA (with a specific anti-codon) for a particular amino acid; and 'wobble' base-pairing, i.e. permitting non-standard base-pairing at the 3rd anti-codon position. Lineage: Bacteria; Pseudomonadati; Acidobacteriota. The record is from RNAcentral.